GACGUAGGGCGCGAGCGUUGUCCGGAUUUAUUGGGCGUAAAGAGCUCGUAGGCGGUUUGUCGCGUCUGCUGUGAAAACCUAAGGCUCAACCUUGGGCUUGCAGUGGGUACGGGCAGACUAGAGUGCGGUAGGGGUGACUGGAAUUCCUGGUGUAGCGGUGGAAUGCGCAGACAUCAGGAGGAACACCGAUGGCGAAGGCAGGUCACUGGGCCGCAACUGACGCUGAGGAGCGAAAGCAUGGGGAGCGAACAGG
This 253-nucleotide ribosomal RNA is filed under the name uncultured bacterium. Its description in RNAcentral is "partial 16S ribosomal RNA". It matches the Rfam family "Bacterial small subunit ribosomal RNA", at positions 524 to 776 of the family's 1533-position model. The record is from RNAcentral.